UAGGGAAUCUUCCGCAAUGGGCGAAAGCCUGACGGAGCAACGCCGCGUGAGUGAAGAAGGUCUUCGGAUCGUAAAACUCUGUUAUUAGGGAAGAACAAAUGUGUAAGUAACUAUGCACGUCUUGACGGUACCUAAUCAGAAAGCCACGGCUAACUACGUGCCAGCAGCCGCGGUAAUACGUAGGUGGCAAGCGUUAUCCGGAAUUAUUGGGCGUAAAGCGCGCGUAGGCGGUUUUUUAAGUCUGAUGUGAAAGCCCACGGCUCAACCGUGGAGGGUCAUUGGAAACUGGAAAACUUGAGUGCAGAAGAGGAAAGUGGAAUUCCAUGUGUAGCGGUGAAAUGCGCAGAGAUAUGGAGGAACACCAGUGGCGAAGGCGACUUUCUGGUCUGUAACUGACGCUGAUGUGCGAAAGCGUGGGGAUCAAACAGG
This 429-nucleotide ribosomal RNA is filed under the name Pseudomonas sp. RNAcentral describes it as "partial 16S ribosomal RNA". It matches the Rfam family "Bacterial small subunit ribosomal RNA", at positions 355 to 776 of the family's 1533-position model. The record is from RNAcentral. RNAcentral also lists the same sequence under 5 other names. Lineage: Bacteria; Pseudomonadati; Pseudomonadota; Gammaproteobacteria; Pseudomonadales; Pseudomonadaceae.